GUGCAGGUAGGCAGGGGGAGCAGGCUGUGUGCUGGUUGCCUACCGUCUGCCUCUUUGUCUAUCUGCAGA
Molecule: microRNA precursor, 69 nt
Organism: Gallus gallus (chicken)
Lineage: Eukaryota; Metazoa; Chordata; Aves; Galliformes; Phasianidae
Source: Ensembl